CUGUGUAUUAAAGCUAGGGGAGACAACUUAUUACUAUUGAAGUUCUCUUUUAUAGAGUACUUCCAAAUAUUUUGUAGGUUCUAAGUGUUUAUAGUAUUUUUACCAUUUUCAUUGCAUUGAGAAUGUGUGUAGUACCAUAGGAUUUUAAAUGAGUACUUAACUCCAUCUAGAAGUAGCCUAAUAAAUGAACAUACAAGUUUCNGCAAAAAAUAANCACCAGGAUAAANCAUACACCAANUUUCACCAAGUUCCAGCAAAAGAGACAAUUCAUACAUGCUGAAAUUACUCAAACUAUGAAAUUUAUAAAACAAAUUCAAUACUAACCUCUUUAGUAGACUUUAUUUCGUGGACUGCAGGUUUGAUAACAAAU
Molecule: long non-coding RNA, 370 nt
Filed under: Vigna radiata
Lineage: Eukaryota; Viridiplantae; Streptophyta; Magnoliopsida; Fabales; Fabaceae
Description: long non-coding RNA (VRAD_LNC001046)
Source: RNAcentral